AAACCAGCACCUCAAGUGGUCAGGAUGAUUAUUGGGCCUAAAGCAUCCGUAGCCGGCUCUGGAAGUUUUCGGUUAAAUCUGUACGCUUAACGUACAGGCUGCCGGGAAUACUGCAGAGCUAGGGAGUGGGAGAGGUAGACGGUACUCGGGAGGAAGUGGUAAAAUGCUUUGAUCUCUCGAUGACCACCUGUGGCGAAGGCGGUCUACCAGAACACGUCCGACGGUGAGGGAUGAAAGCUGGGGGAGCAAACCGGAUUAGAAACCCUAGUAGUCC
RNAcentral lists this ribosomal RNA (274 nucleotides) under uncultured bacterium. RNAcentral describes it as "partial 16S ribosomal RNA". It matches the Rfam family "Archaeal small subunit ribosomal RNA", at positions 473 to 747 of the family's 1478-position model. The record is from RNAcentral.